This 437-nucleotide ribosomal RNA is filed under the name uncultured bacterium. RNAcentral's name for it is "partial 16S ribosomal RNA". It matches the Rfam family "Bacterial small subunit ribosomal RNA", at positions 341 to 792 of the family's 1533-position model. The record is from RNAcentral.
ACGGGAGGCAGCAGUGGGGAAUAUUGGGCAAUGGAGGCAACUCUGACCCAGCAACGCCGCGUGAAUGAAGAAGGCCUUCGGGUUGUAAAGUUCUUUAAUUGGGGACGAAGAAAGUGACGGUACCCAAAGAAUAAGCCACGGCUAACUACGUGCCAGCAGCCGCGGUAAUACGUAGGUGGCAAGCGUUGUCCGGAAUGACUGGGCGUAAAGGGAGCGUAGGUGGCGCAACAAGUUAGGAGUGAAAUCCCGGGGCUUAACCCCGGAACUGCUUUUAAAACUGUUGUGCUUGAGUGAUGGAGAGGAAAGCGGAAUUCCUAGUGUAGCGGUGGAAUGCGUAGAUAUUAGGAGGAACACCAGAGGCGAAGGCGGCUUUCUGGACAUUAACUGACACUGAGGCUCGAAAGCGUGGGGAGCAAACAGGAUUAGAUACCCUGGUA